AGCUAGGUGAACUUGCAAUUAUUUUUAAAGAAGCGGUUGCUCCUUAUGAGCGUCCAACUCUUAGCAAGGGAUCCCUUCUUCCUGAGAUUAAGUUUUCAAAACUUCUAAAUCAUCAAAGUUGAAAAAUAUAACAACAUACAACUUCCAUUGGAACAUGAAAGAC
Molecule: long non-coding RNA, 163 nt
Organism: Impatiens glandulifera
Lineage: Eukaryota; Viridiplantae; Streptophyta; Magnoliopsida; Ericales; Balsaminaceae
Exons: 3
Source: RefSeq, a predicted model, not a curated record